UACGGAGGGAGCAAGCGUUACUCGGAAUUACUGGGCGUAAAGGGCGCGUAGGCGUUCUAUCAAGUCUUGUGUGAAAGCCCCAAGCCUAACUUGGGAAGUGCACAAGAAACUGGAAGAAUAGAGUUCCGGAGAGGAAGAUGGAAUUCCCGGUGUAGCGGUGAAAUGCGUAGAUAUCGGGAGGAAUACCAGCGGCGAAGGCGGCCUUCUGGACGGUGACUGACGCUGAGACGCGAAAGCGUGGGGAGCAAACAGG
RNAcentral lists this ribosomal RNA (253 nucleotides) under uncultured bacterium. Its description in RNAcentral is "partial 16S ribosomal RNA". It matches the Rfam family "Bacterial small subunit ribosomal RNA", at positions 524 to 776 of the family's 1533-position model. The record is from RNAcentral.